UACGAAGGAGGCGAGCGUUGUUCGGAAUUACUGGGCGUAAAGGGCGCGCAGGCGGCUCAGACAGUCAGAUGUGAAAGCCCCGGGCUUAACCUGGGAACUGCAUUUGAUACUACUGAGCUUGAGUACGGGAGAGGAUAGUGGAAUUCCCAGUGUAGAGGUGAAAUUCGUAGAUAUUGGGAAGAACACCGGUGGCGAAGGCGGCUAUCUGGACCGUAACUGACGCUGAGGCGCGAAAGCGUGGGGAGCAAACAGG
RNAcentral lists this ribosomal RNA (253 nucleotides) under uncultured bacterium. RNAcentral's name for it is "partial 16S ribosomal RNA". It matches the Rfam family "Bacterial small subunit ribosomal RNA", at positions 524 to 776 of the family's 1533-position model. The record is from RNAcentral.